This 2665-nucleotide unclassified non-coding RNA is filed under the name Hevea brasiliensis (rubber tree). Lineage: Eukaryota; Viridiplantae; Streptophyta; Magnoliopsida; Malpighiales; Euphorbiaceae. The record is from RNAcentral.
CCGAAAUUAGUAACAAGUGUAAUUUUAUAAAUUUGCAUUCUUUGUUUGAGGCAAUUUAAAACUGAAAAUCUGGCCGUUUGGGAAGACUCUUAACUGGAUGGGCCAUACAUAUCCAAAUGAUUUCAAUUAGGCCCUUCCAGAGACCAGAACUGCCUCUAAAAUAUCGUCUAAAACGCAGAUUGAAACGUUCAUGUUAUCAUGAAGGGAUCUUAUGCCACAUAACGAAAGUUACUUGUACAUAAAACAAUUCAAAAUUUGUGAAAAGAAAUUUCCCCGAACGAUUUGCUGAUGUCAUCUUUUCUUGAACUUCUUGGACUUCUUAUCCUUUAUGCCUAAAUAUUUUUCAAUCUCUUCCUCACCAUCUCCUCCACCCCUCCUCUUCUUGCCACCGGAUUCUUUAAUUUUCAUCUGGGAAAUUCUUUUCGCUUCAGUGACACGCUCCAGCAGAAGCAAGACUUCCUCUUCUUCAGCGGGAAAUUCAGGUAACUUCUUACCAAUAAGCUUCUCUAUCAGUAGAUACCACUCCAGUUCAUAUUGAUUCACAAGCGAGAUUGCAACCCCAGAACGUCCUGCACGAGCAGUUCUUCCAACACGAUGAAUGUAAUCCUUCGAGUUUGUAGGGAUAUCAUAAUUAAUAACCAUAUCCACAGACGGAAUAUCAAGUCCUCUACUUGCCACAUCAGUGCAUAUAAGAAUAUUGCACUCUCCAGCUUUGAACUUAUUUAAGGCUCCCAGUCUCUUUGACUGAGUCAUAUGACCAUUAAUUGGGAUGGCCCUUAAACCAAGAUUUCGGAGGACCAGGGCCAAAAAAGUAGUUGCAUCACAUGUUCGAGUAAAAACCAUGGAAGUACUUCCAGACAUCUCAGUCAGAAUGUACACAAGGUAGCAAUCCUGUAAUCAUGACAAAUAAAAAAGAACCCGACAAGUUGUUAAAUCAGCAGCCAGAAAAUGAAGCAGCCCUUGGUUCAUUGAGCAUAAAUUGUGAGACAAGAAAUAAUCUUGAAUGACCAAAAAUGAUCCAUGGUAUUGAGUGUCGACUAUUAUGUACAUAAUGUAGCCCAACAAAUCAUCUAAAAUUCAAUAUGCAUGUUACAGUUGGAACUAGCAGAUCAUCAUGAUCAACUACAGAUAAAUGCAAACAAAAAAUCAGAGUUUAUUUCACCUUAAACUUUUACCUUGCCCAUAGGAAAUAAAAAACUUCACAUGUAAAUCUUGCCGAACAUUAUAUGCAUGAGUUGAGAUGUAUUAAAAAUCUAUUUUCUUUCCUCCAUAAAGUAUAAUUUGACAUGAGGAAUAUAAAUUUUUUACCUCAUCCUUCCACUAGGAUCUUCACAGACUCACGUGAUAGAACGCAUGAUGCAUGCUUUUACAAAACUUUGUUUUCUUCAACAGCUUCAGAUAAAAAUGCAUAUAAUUUUAGGCGUUCAUCAUUUAUUAAACUUUUCACUAAGAAUAACUUCUCCAUAACUAUUAAUGAACGACCACCAAUUACCAGUACCUCUUUUCUAAUCAACAACAUCUACGGAAGUAAUCCAUCAAUUGAAAAAGGACAAACCUUGUACUUGGCAGGAAUAAAGCGAUAUUGCUGCUUCAAUGUGUCAACUGUGGAAUAUUUGGAUGCUGCUUCUAUCUUCACUGGAUUCCUUAGACAUGCCCUCUGAAGCUUUUUCACCUUUUUUGUCAUAGUUGCAGAAAAUAAAUAUGUUUUUCGAUCCCGUGGUAUAACCUUUAGAAUUUCAUCAAGUGAUUUCUCAAAAUCCUCAUUCAAUAACCUGUCUGCCUCAUCUAAAACCAAGUAUUUCAAUGUGCGGAGAGAAAAACCUUUUGUGUUUGACAAAUGAUCCACCAGGCGCCCAGGGGUCCCAACAAUGAUGUGUGGCCGCUUUCCAAGUGAUAUAGCCUGUUGCACCAUAUCUACCCCACCAACAAGCUAUUAAAAAAGGGGCGAAAUGAAAUUCUAUUAGUGACAAAAUUUAAUGGCAAAGUAAAAACAAAAUAAUAUAAUAGUUUUGUAAAUGUGAGAAAUAGUUAAAUCAUAAAACUUAUUCUAUGAACAUCGUAUCAGUUCAGAGUAAAUGCCUACGACAGCACAUUUCACACCAAUGCCAGAUCCUAAAGCUUCAAACUGCUCUGCUAUCUGAAUUGCCAACUCCCUUCAAUAAUAGGAAAAGAUAAUAUAAAUAACCCUAUCUAUAGGUAUAUAGAAUUCUUAAUUAAAUGAAACAGCUACUGUUUCACAAUCAAACAAAAUGAGGUAGGCAGAAAACCUUGUAGGAGACAGCACGCAAGCGAAGAAAGCUUGCACGGAUUUUUCUGAAGCUUCAAGAAGCGAUUGUAAUAUGGGAAGAGCAAAAGCUCCUGUUUUACCUGACCCCGUUUGCGCAAGACCGAUCAAGUCUUUGCCUUCGAGAGCAUGAGGAAUUGCUUCGACCUGUAUCUUGGUAGGGUUUUUCCAUCCCAAACUGUCACACGCUUCCAACAAUUGUUCGCAUAUCCCCAAAUCCUUAAAUGUCUUCACUUCUUCUUUCUCUUCUGCCAUUUUUCAGCUUCUAAUAUGCUGAAGUCAAGGAAGCUCAGCUGCGUGAUGCAGGCCACGGUUGUGCGUGAAUAAUACUUAACGGCGGCGAAGAAGAAGGAGAACGUCCCGGCUUUAGUAGGGUUUUUG